CAGUAGCCAGGUAAUACGUAGGGUGCGAGCGUUAAUCGGAAUUACUGGGCGUAAAGCGUGCGCAGGCGGUUUUGUAAGACAGGCGUGAAAUCCCCGGGCUCAACCUGGGAAUGGCGCUUGUGACUGCAAAGCUAGAGUGCGGCAGAGGGGGAUGGAAUUCCGCGUGUAGCAGUGAAAUGCGUAGAUAUGCGGAGGAACACCGAUGGCGAAGGCAAUCCCCUGGGCCUGCACUGACGCUCAUGCACGAAAGCGUGGGGAGCAAACAGGAUUAGAUACCCCUGUAGUCCCUGUCUCUUAUACA
This 301-nucleotide ribosomal RNA is filed under the name uncultured bacterium. RNAcentral's name for it is "partial 16S ribosomal RNA". It matches the Rfam family "Bacterial small subunit ribosomal RNA", at positions 509 to 808 of the family's 1533-position model. The record is from RNAcentral.